This is a non-coding RNA of Physcomitrium patens, 1511 nucleotides long. The record is from RefSeq and is a predicted model, not a curated record. Lineage: Eukaryota; Viridiplantae; Streptophyta; Bryopsida; Funariales; Funariaceae.
GGUUCUACCUUGUGAGGCAACAAGUUCGGGUGCAAAUACUAUUGAUUAUCCAUUUAUUAUCAAACUGUAAAAUAUAUCUAUUAUAUAGUGCAGCAUAGGUUUAAGAUGAAGAGACAAAAAUCGAUUCUGAUCGGCUGUUGAGAGGAAAUCUGAGAACUCGAGGAACAAGAUCUGAGUUGUUAGGGUUUUGAGAAUUCCUAGUAACCGCUUGCCCUUGGUUGUACUGUGCCGUUGUACGAUAGUGCUCCUUCAUAGGGGCUCGCAGCAUUUGUUUCUACAAUCUGGAAUUGCUCUCCGUGGCUCUUCUGUUCGUCAGGAGCUUCUGUGGCACACGUUCGGGAGAUCGUUUGUGGCCAGUCCGAUGCGAUGAGCGUUGCAUCCUUUCAUCCCUUCUUCGACGUCGUUGCAUGCUUGCUGUAUGGUGUUGCUUCGACGGCUUUGUUGACUUGCUUUAGGGUGCGAAGCGAAUCGAAAGGGCUCGAUAUGUGAGGUCGCAACUCUUGCGACACGCUUGUGUAUGUAGAUCUUCCUCUUCUUGAAAAUCCCACAUCAUUAAUUAGACAACUACUUGAUGGAAAAGAUGAAUAAAGCAAGGAGUUUCGGAAGAUUAUUCAACAAUUUAAUUUUGCACAUGCAUUUACAUCUUUUGUAUUGCAAGAACAUGGUCCGUAUGGCUUUUGCAUAUAUGGAGAGCUCCCGCAUCAAAUCAAAUGGGCACUUUCUUACCAAAUCAAGGUAUAGAAGCAAGUUAUAUGCAACUUUACAUUUACAAUCUUGAUAUUGCACAUGAAGUAAGGAUGGCAUGUAUUUGAAAUUUAUCAGUUCAAACAAUAUCAGAGUUUCAAGAAUUUUAACGAGAACAUCAUGUGUUUGUUCUACUUUGUUGAUAUUUAGGGAAUAUUUAGCUCAUGAAAUAUUCCCUAAAGCUAGAGAAAGAAGAAAAAAAGAGAAAGAAGUCAUAAUAUAUGCAUACAUCUUCACUUUAGUACAAAUUUCUACAAAAGAUAUUAUAAUCAUCCAACUUCUAAUAAAGUUCUUGUUUUGUCACACAAUGGAAUAAAAAAAGAAAGGAUAAAAGAUAUAAUUGUUUGAUAAUGAAGAGGUGUAUUGCAACAAAUUCAUAAAAGUCAUCUUACAUACUUGCCACUCUAUUAUGUUAUUUUUUUCUCUAAUGAGAACAUAAAUGACAUGACCAAAUGUGACGUAGAAAUAUGAAUGCCAAUGAAGAUGGAAGUGAUAAUAUGUGAAUUACACAUGUUAUUCAAAUAGAGUUUUUUACGUAUCAAUAGUUUCUACAAUAUAAUGAAUACUCAACUAUCUUACAAGGUAGAAAGUUGUUACAAGAAUUUAUUGUGGAUAUAUAGGCAAUAUUAGAGAAAAAUCACUUGAAAUAUUUGAAUAUGAAUCAAGAUAGAUUGUAUAUAAAUAUAUAUUAAGGAUUAAUAGAUAUUAUUGGAGAUGUAUAAAACCAAGUUAUCAUGCAAAAUUCAAAAUAGAGGAUAAUUCUUUCA